UUGGAGCUACAGCUUCCAGCCUACACCAUAGCCACAGCAACAUGGGAUCCAGGCCGCAUCUGUGAUCUAUACCACAGCUCAGAGCAACACCAAAUCCUUAACUCACUGGGUAAGGACAAGGAUCGAACCCACAACCUCAUGGAUUCUAGUCGGAUUUGUUUCUGCUGUGUCGUAACAGGAACGCCCCAGAAUCUAUUUUAGAAGGAAGCAACCAAGAUCAAAGCAGCACUAGGCAUGAUGUGCCUUGUUUAUUUACCUGUUGGAACAGGCAAGGAAACAAAAAGGGACCUGUGCAUUUCUCGUGCUUUUCAAACAGGAGCUGGAUCUCUUGAAAUGGCCAAGGAGGAGAAGACAGUUUGAUUUAGAUUUGGCAUGGGUUUAGGGGAAGAUAUGCCUUUGUAGCUGGCCUUAAAUAUUAUGGCAACAUGGACUGAGUUAGUCUCCAAGGGAGAAGUUGCCACAUGUUGUAACAGAAGCCACUGGGCUUGGCAAGGAAGGGAAUGAAAGAACGACAAUGAAAGCAACGCCAUUUUCCCACCAUGGCAAAGAUGGGCUGACUGGGACCACGCCUGUCCCUCUUUUCCAGGGAAGACCAAACCGGGCACUGCCCUUUCAAAUCAGUCUUCACCAUAUUCUAAACAAUACUGAAUUCUGAAAUUAAUUUUAAUUCCUAAUGGCUUCUUAAGGAGACCUUUUUCUUCCUCCUUACUAAAAACAUAAACAAUUCAAAAAAGAGAUUCAAAAAGAGGAACUGCACCCCCCCAAAUUCUGAGUCUGAGAAGGCUGAGAGGGUGCACUUUUCAAAUGUAUUUAUUAAUUUUAGAGCUCCAGCAAGCUGUUUUGAUGCAUGCUCCAUCUCUUACCAUUUAAAUUUUUAAAACAUUAGAUUCUUACCUAUAUCUAUCUUGCUAUUUUGACUGGUCAUUCCCAAACGUAAACUGCCCUACUUUGAAGCUUUCCAAAGCUAAGAAGUGAAGUCUGAAAUAAAGCAGGCUGUUAACUGAGUUUUUACUGAAUGAAUCUGCAUUCUUGCAAGGCCUUGAGCUGGAUAUAAAUUCUUAGGCUUCUUCCAUUGACAGUAAUUCUUUUGGUCAUCAUCAUUAUAACUUAACUAUUUCUAAGAGGGAAAAAUAAGCUUGUAUAAAUUGUACUGAAUACAAUAUCUAGUUUCUACUUACGAGAAGCUCUCUGGGACUUGGGGCAAUGGUAGUCCCUAUCUCAAUGGGUAGUUCUAAGAAUUAAAAUCAUGAACAUCUGUAAAGCAACUAAGCUAGACCCGACCUAUAGAAAAUCAUCCAUAAAUGUGAGCAAUAAUUAUGCACGGCCAACCUAGUAACUUUAUUAUCCUGCUGAUGAGAAUAUGAGCGCCAAAGAGCAAGGGAGCAACUGAACCAUGCCUGGGCAAACAGCGUUCUCUCCUUGCUCUCUUAUUCGCUCUCUCCAUCACAGUGGGAGCACCACAUCCCUUCUACAAUUCACUUUCUUGUCCACACAACAAGCAAUAUACAUCUACACCAAGAAUGCCUAGAGAGGCCGGAUGCAGUUUUUGGCUAAUAUCAGCAGCAGCAGGACAAUUCACAACAUCUGUAUCUUCCUGUCUAUAUGAGUCAGGGUUUUCCAGAGAAAGACAGCGAAUAAGAUGUGGUAUGUGUGAGUGUGCAGAGAGAAAGACAAAGGCAGAGACAGACUGGCAGGUUGAAUUUCAAGGAAUUGACUUAGGUGACUAUGGGGCAGGCUAGUGACCCAGGAAAAGAUGACACUGUGGUCUCCAGACAGAAGGCCAUCUGGAGGCAGAAUUCCUUCUUCCUGGGGGGACAACAAUCUUUUUUUCUGAAGGACAUCAACAGAUUGGAUGAGGCCCACAUACACUAUGGAGAAUAAUUUGUUUUACUCAACAUCUACUGAUUUAAAUUUAAUCUCAGUUAAAAACACCUUCACAGGUAUUUUUAGACUUUUUAGACUGGUGUUUCACCAAAUAUCUAGGUACUGUGCUCUAGCUAAGGUGACACAGAAAAUUAGCCAUCACUCUCCUUUCCGAAUAGAUGGAGUUCCCAUCGUGGCUCAGUGGUUAACGAACCUGACCAGCAUCCAUAAGGACUCAGGUUCAAUCCCUGGCCUUGCUCAGAGGGUUAAGGAUGCGGCGUUGCCUGAGCUGUGGUGUAGGUUGCAGACGUGGCUUGGAUCCUGUGUUGCUAUGGCUGUGGCAUAGCCUGGCGUCUUCAGCUCUGAUUCAACCCCUAGCCUGGGAACCUCCAUAUGCCACAGGUGCGGUCCUAAAAAGACAAAAAAAAAAAAAAAAGGCAAGAAAUUCAGAUGAGCCAUGCAUUUCUUAAGAGGUGAGUUCUAUGUCUGAAGGAUGCCUUUCAAGCAGAUACAGAAGAUGACAUCUGAACAGUAGGGAGAGUCAGGGGAAUACAUACCAGUCCACAGAAGGGACAGCUUCUAGAACAAAGACUGCAAACUUAUUAGGGCCAGACGAAUAAAACAAAUGAGUGAACCAAGCCGGGUGGGGUUAUGCACAGCCCCUGUACAACCGCUCAGCGGCCUCUGGCCACGGAAGGCUCCGAGUCUUUCUGCAACAGCCCCAGCACACAGCACGGCCCAGUGGGAGGACCACUGACUUUAAAGUCAGGUGGAAGGAGCCCUGUGUCCCAGUUCCACUGCACAUUAUCAGCAUGACCUGAAAUAAGUUACUUAAAACCCUUUGGGCCUCUGAGUUGUUUUGUGUGUGUGUGUGUGUGUGUGACCUGAGAUCGCUGUUGCUGACACUAUAUAAUUAUUGUGAAUACUCAGGGAAAAGUGCCUAAAAUGUGAUGGUUGAUAUACAUGUUUCCUACUUUGCUUUUAUUACCAUUUACAUAGCACUUAACUGUGUGCAAGACACAGCUCUUCAACUCAUUUAUUCCUCACAACAACCCUAGGAGGUAGCUUCUCAGUUUACAAAUGAAGCACAGAAAGGGUAAAUAAUUUGACCAGGGACACACAGCAGGCAAUACUAAAAGACUGUCAAAAACUCAAAAACAGGAGGAUUCAUUCUUAGAUGCUACAGGAGAUUCUAUCCCUCAAACUACCAUAAGCCUCUUUGUCUUUUCUUUCAACCUAAAUGUGCUGCAAGUACAUAGGGUACCUUCUGACUCCCACUCCCACUACUGACUCCCAUGCCGUGGGCUCCCCGCUGCUGUCACCCCACAGGUGCUCCCUCAAAGGCACUCCAGACUCGGGGCUCAGUGUUGUAGGGUGGCUCAUGGUCCCCUCUCCUCAACCCUGCGUUAACACCUUCUCUGCCGGGCACCAACCUCCGAGGGCUGCCUAGGCCUCUGAAAUUCCCUGUUCUCUUUGAAAGCCCCUCCAUGGUCUCCCUCUCAGAGGUAAGUCCCAGGUCCCAGCC
This 3388-nucleotide long non-coding RNA is filed under the name Sus scrofa (pig). Its description in RNAcentral is "lncRNA (ENSSSCG00000053821.1)". Lineage: Eukaryota; Metazoa; Chordata; Mammalia; Artiodactyla; Suidae. The record is from RNAcentral.